CUGAUAUUUAUUGCAGGUUUAUUUAUUAUCAAAUGAUCAUAAACAACUGAAAACAACCAAUAAGGGACUAGUUAAAUAAAUUACAGCUCUUCCAUACAAUGGGAAAUCAUGUCUUCAUUAGACAGGAUCGAGCAGCUCUAAUUAUAGUAUAUGAAAUAUUAUCAAGAUAUAUUGGUACAAAAAUAAAUAUGUAAAUAAAUAAAGCAAAGUGCAGCGUGUAUAUAUAGUAUGCUACAAUUCCAUGUGUGUAAACACAUGAUUUAUUUCCAGAAGCAUAUGAUCUAUUUCUGAAGGGAAACACAUGUACCUUGUAACACUGGUGGUCUUCAGAGUGAGAGACUAUGUAGCUGGGGGAUGGGUAGGAAGGGAGACUGCCCUUCCAAAAUUGUGUGCCCCAUGAAUAUAACUGCUAUAAAACAAUUAAUUGGAUAUACCUACUAAAAUAUGCAACUAAACUGGGGCAGAAGUCUCUUGCUUUUAAAUUUAAGUAUAUAUUAAGUGGAUAAAUAUACAAGAAGCUAAAAUAGAAGGCAAAUGAUCUGAUUAUGCUCUCUUUCCCAGAAAAAUAGUACUUUUAAUACUUGUAAGAGAAAUGGCUAUCCUGAUUGUCUCCAGAGCAUCCUACAUAUUCCCCCGGACCACAUUCCCAUCCCUCCUAGAGACGUACUAUGACUUAUGAAUGUUUUCUCUCCUGAAGAUAAACAAGUGACUUUCUUCUACCUCUGUCUGCUUCAGAGAAAUAAAUGUGCACAUGUGCAUGCCCACACACACAAUUUUAACCUUAGUCAGCACUUUCCUGUUAUACUGCUUAUUUUUCUCAGUUGUGUGCUUCAUGUUUCAUGGACACAUUUACAAUCAAAUAUACCACUAGGCUUUGAUAGGUGUUUUUCUCUUGCUCAACCUGGCACACAGCCAUCAGCAUCCAAGAUCAUCUUGUGAAGUUGCCGUCCUCAUGCAAAGCCCUAUGUAAAGUGAGUUUCCAGUCUAUGUCCUUGUGUGACACACUGAAAAUGUAUCGCAGAAGACAUACACUGCAUAAAA
Molecule: long non-coding RNA, 1041 nt
Filed under: Equus asinus (donkey)
Lineage: Eukaryota; Metazoa; Chordata; Mammalia; Perissodactyla; Equidae
Description: lncRNA (ENSEASG00005036871.1)
Source: RNAcentral